CAGUCGCCGCGGGAAUACGGAGGGUGCAAGCGUUAAUCGGAAUUACUGGGCGUAAAGCGCACGCAGGCGGUCUGACAAGUCAGAUGUGAAAUCCCCGGGCUUAACCUGGGAACUGCAUUUGAAACUGUCAGGCUGGAGUCUUGUAGAGGGGGGUGGAAUUCCAGGUGUAGCGGUGAAAUGCGUAGAGAUCUGGAGGAAUACCGGUGGCGAAGGCGGCCCCCUGGACAAAGACUGACGCUCAGGUGCGAAAGCGUGGGGAGCAAACAGGAUUAGAGACCUCAGUAGUCCCUGUCUCUUAUAC
RNAcentral lists this ribosomal RNA (301 nucleotides) under uncultured bacterium. Its description in RNAcentral is "partial 16S ribosomal RNA". It matches the Rfam family "Bacterial small subunit ribosomal RNA", at positions 509 to 807 of the family's 1533-position model. The record is from RNAcentral.